Long non-coding RNA from Fukomys damarensis (Damara mole-rat), 679 nucleotides. RefSeq lists it as uncharacterized. The transcript has 3 exons. NCBI's taxonomy places the organism in Eukaryota, Metazoa, Chordata, Mammalia, Rodentia, Bathyergidae. The record is from RefSeq and is a predicted model, not a curated record.
AGGGUCCACUAUAUAAAUGUUUUCUACUUGAAAAAUAUCUUAAGAAAGGAAGUAUAGUGGAUUAAGAGAAAGACUGACUCUAGGAUAUGGUUGGAGAGAAAGGAAGAACAAGAUCAUCAAACAAGUGAAACAGUUUGAAAAUUAUUAAGUGGGAAAUCACUGAAGGUUUGUCAGCAUAACAGUAGCAGCCUGGUAUGGGUUUUAUAAAAAUUUGCUCUGGAUACAUUGGAGAAUGUAAUGGGAUAAAAGACACAGGAGGACAACCGGGAAGACCAAUCAGGAGGCUACGUAACAGAUGAUGUUGACUUAGAAGAAAAGCUCAAGGCCUAUUCUGGAGUAGAACUGACAAAACAGACCAGCCCUGCAGCCUUCUGACACAGACCCUUCAGCUUUCCAUCACAGACUUUCGGCCCCGAUACUGAACAGCACUGGACACUACACUGAGCUCCAGGCCUUUGAUUGGAUCCUUUGGACCCCUGCUGCACAGACAGACGUCUUGCACUCUUCCACACUCGACUCUGUGGGUGACCACUCAAUGGACAUGAAACACAAAUGACCAGGGUGAGGAAAGGACAGCAUCCUAAAGAGAAGCAAGUUCUGACAAUGAUUAAUGUGGGGCUCCCAAGGAUGUCUGACAGGAAAAAGAAGCAACAUAUUGUGUAACGGACAAAAAAAUUAG